RNA transcript from Salvia miltiorrhiza (redroot sage), 2697 nucleotides. RefSeq lists it as uncharacterized. Lineage: Eukaryota; Viridiplantae; Streptophyta; Magnoliopsida; Lamiales; Lamiaceae. The transcript has 3 exons. The record is from RefSeq and is a predicted model, not a curated record.
AGCUGGCCACCCCCAACCAAACGGUGAGAAAGCGAAAAUCAAAACCAGAGAGACUCCUUCUUCCGCGGGCCCCUCAUCAAUUGAAACAUUCUUCACUCUUUCUCCGCCUAACAGUUGACUUAAAAUUUGGAAGUGUUGGAAAUCAGGGGAAGGAUUGGUAAUUCCAAUCCAAUCCGAUAAGCAUUCAGUUUGACAAAAUUGUUUGCGUAUACCUGAUAUGGCUUCUGAAGCUCUCGAUUCUCUGCUACAAACUUUACGCCAAAUCCUUAACCGCAAGGAUGAUAUCAUCACUCCUCGUGUAAAACAACGAAUUAUAUCCAUCCACGACAAAGCUGUUCUCUUGCAACUGAAUCUCAAACAUUUUCCAAAAGAAGCAACAAUCAGGGAGGUAGUAAAUACAACACAAGAGAUUAUUGAGUAUAUUUUCUCCCCAGAAAAUAUCUCAGAUUGUGCGUCCACAGAGGCGAGUGUGAGACUUUCAAUCCAGUUGGGGGAAUUGGCAGAGGAGCUCGCCUCAACUGCCGGAGAUGUGGUGGACUACUGCAAGAGUCCCGACGACCUAGUCAACAACGUAAGAAGGCGGAGUGACUCAUCAUCAAGAUCUGCGAUAGAGCUGAUUGUUAACCUUAUAUACCUGUUGGUGAGAGUGGUGAGAAUUAUGUCGACUGCUAGAUACUUUGUAGACUAUUAUUUCGGUCUUGAUGAUUUGGUGGCUGGUAGAUACUUUGUAAACUACUCUCGUUUUGUUGGUUAUUUUGAUUACUCGAAGCAUCUUAAUGAUUUGAAGGAUUUUGAUGUUGAUUUGAGAGUAGCAACAGAGCUGACUGUCAGCAUUUCAAUCCGGUUUCUGAGCUUAGCGGAGAGAAUUAUGUCAACAACUAGUGACUCACUUGACAACGUAGGACGACUGAGUGAUUCUCCCGCAUCAUCAAGAUUUGAAUUCAAGAGUGAAGAUUUUGAUGGUCUUGAUGAAGAUCUGAUAUUAGCAACAGCGCUGUUUGUCAGUUCAAACCGUUUGGCGAGAUUAGGGGAGAGAAUUAAGUGGACUGCUCGAGACUUAGUAGACAACUCUAACCCUGUUGAUUCAUCACCAACAUCUGCUCUCAAGAUUGAAGAUUUUGAUGGUUUUGGUGAAGAUCUGGAUUCAGUGAGCAUGCGGACUCUCGACAUUUCACACCUGUUGGGGAGAUUUGUGGAGAGAAUUAUGUCAACUGCUAAAGAUUCGGUUGCUAACACAGGAAGAUUUAGUGAUUCUCUAGCUGUUGCAACAGAGCUGAUUGACAGCAUUUCAAACCGGUUGGAGAGAUUAGCGGAGAGAAUUAUGUCAACUGCUGAAGAUUCAGUGAACAACUUAGGACGACUGAGUGAUUCUCCAGCUGUUGAUUCAUCAUCAAGAUCUGCACUCAGGAGUGAAGAUUUUGGUGGUUUUGAUGAAGAUCUCACUGUAGCAACAGAGUUGACUGUCAGCAUUUCAAACCGGUUGGGGAGAUUAGCGGAGAGAAUUAAGUGGACUGCUGUUGGUUCAUCAUCAAGAUCUUUACCGACAAGCAAGGAUGUUGUGGUUGGUUUUGAUGAAGAUAGGUUGCAGAUUAUGUCAUGGCUUACAAGCUAUUCAUCCGAGCUGCAAGUCCUCCCUAUUGUGGGAAUGGGAGGCAUUGAUGCAGAGUAUUGAUGGAGCUAGCCAGCUUAUAAGAUAUUCGACUUAUGAAUGAAGCAGAGAGUUAAAGAUCACCCUGAAGAGACCGAUUACAGUAAUUGGAGAAAGUGUUCAAAAUCUUGAAAGGCAAGAGGUAUUUCCUUGUAAUAUAUGAUGUUUGAUGUACAGAGGCUUCGGAUGAUGUAAGAAAUAUACUUCCCGAUGAUGGUAAUGGAAGCCGAGUCAUGUUAACGACAAGAGAAACUGAUGUGGCUGCUUAUGCUGAUCGUUUGAGCGGUUUCCACAAGAUGUGUUUGAUGAAUGAAGCUUAAAGUUGGAAUCUAUUUCAACAGAAGGUGUUUGCGCAUCAAGAUUGUCCUCCGAAAUUCGAGAAGAUUGGAAAUGAGAUUGCAAGAAGCUGCAAAGGGCUGCCCCUUGCAUUCGUGGUGGUUGCAGGGCUUCUAUCCGUGGUUAGCAACAAUGUAGCUUCAUGGAGCAAAAUUGCACGAAACGUAAAUUCAGUACUAAAAAUAUUUGAUCGUCGGCGGCUACGCUGCCGCUGCUAUUUAUGCCGCACAUUUAAAAAAAACGGGUCGACUACUCCACCGUCGGAGAGCCGCCGGGAAUCGCCGUCGGCCAUGCCGCCGGUGAUUUUCGCUGGGAAUCAUGCGUUUUUUUGUAGUGUCAAAUCUCACCCUUUUUUUAAAAGGUCAAAUUAUUAUGCUCUCAAGAUAGGCUAUCUUCACGAGAUAAGCACUUUUGGGGAUGACCCAAAAUUUUCCCGCGUGGUUUCCCAUGCUCAUGAUGCACAACAGAAACAUCAAAGGAGCAUAGACCCAUAACAAUCAAAACCAAUAGCCAACCAAACGAUACAAACCAGAGAAAAGAUAUUAGGCAAAAGCAUUGAAAACACUCCGCAUAGCAUCUACCGGACAAAUCACGGCGAAAAUUGCUCACCAAGGUGUUGCAUCCAAAACAUUAAGCAAAUAACACAACCCGGGCAACAUCGUAUCAAGAAGAAACAAAUAGCAGCCCGAAACAAACAUAACCCAAGAAACAAC